RNAcentral lists this transfer RNA (73 nucleotides) under Candidatus Dormiibacterota bacterium. RNAcentral's name for it is "tRNA-Ala". It matches the Rfam family "tRNA". Rfam says of the family: Transfer RNA (tRNA) molecules are approximately 80 nucleotides in length. Their secondary structure includes four short double-helical elements and three loops (D, anti-codon, and T loops). Further hydrogen bonds mediate the characteristic L-shaped molecular structure. tRNAs have two regions of fundamental functional importance: the anti-codon, which is responsible for specific mRNA codon recognition, and the 3' end, to which the tRNAs corresponding amino acid is attached (by aminoacyl-tRNA synthetases). tRNAs cope with the degeneracy of the genetic code in two manners: having more than one tRNA (with a specific anti-codon) for a particular amino acid; and 'wobble' base-pairing, i.e. permitting non-standard base-pairing at the 3rd anti-codon position. Lineage: Bacteria; Bacillati; Candidatus Dormiibacterota. The record is from RNAcentral. RNAcentral also lists the same sequence under 4 other names.
GGGGGCAUAGCUCAGUUGGUAGAGCAUUACGCUGGCAGCGUAAGGGUCAGGAGUUCGAGUCUCCUUGCCUCCA